This 30-nucleotide non-coding RNA is filed under the name Rattus norvegicus (Norway rat). The record is from RNAcentral. Lineage: Eukaryota; Metazoa; Chordata; Mammalia; Rodentia; Muridae.
UUGGCUCCUCGGUGGUCUUUGAGGACCUGC